AUGACGACUCCCGGCAAUGGAUAUCUCGGCUCUCGCAUCGACGAAGAACGUAGCGAAAUGCGAUACCUUGUGUGAAUUACAGAAUCCCGUGAACCAUCGAGUAUUUGAAUGCAAGUUGUGCUCGAGGCCACCUGGUCGAGGGCAUGCCUGCCUGGGCGACGUGC
This 164-nucleotide ribosomal RNA is filed under the name Pinanga sessilifolia. RNAcentral describes it as "5.8S rRNA". It matches the Rfam family "5.8S ribosomal RNA". From Rfam's summary of the family: 5.8S ribosomal RNA (5.8S rRNA) is a component of the large subunit of the eukaryotic ribosome. It is transcribed by RNA polymerase I as part of the 45S precursor that also contains 18S and 28S rRNA. Lineage: Eukaryota; Viridiplantae; Streptophyta; Magnoliopsida; Arecales; Arecaceae. The record is from RNAcentral.